GAGAUUUGGCGGAGGCGGGCGUCGUCGUGCGGUGGAUCUGAUGGAAGUAACCGCGGGAAUGGCGCUAGAAGCGAGGUUGCUCAGGUGAGAAGACAAGCGGCUGUGGCUGCGCGGGCGAGCGCGAAGCAACAGACUGUCGGGGCGCUGUUCUGACAAGGCGGGAAAGGGAGCUGUCAUGGCCGUGGUCUGGGUUGGCGAUGGAGGAAUCGUCGCGUAGCGCAGUCCGAGCAGCACGACUAUGGAGG
This 245-nucleotide long non-coding RNA is filed under the name Setaria italica (foxtail millet). RNAcentral's name for it is "long non-coding RNA (SITA_LNC002419)". Lineage: Eukaryota; Viridiplantae; Streptophyta; Magnoliopsida; Poales; Poaceae. The record is from RNAcentral.